GACGAACGCUGGCGGCGUGCUUAACACAUGCAAGUCGAACGGAAAGGCCCCUUUUGGGUUACUUGAUUGGCGAACGGGUGAGUAACACGUGAGUAACCUACCCUUGACUUCGGGAUAACUUCAGGAAACUGGGGCUAAUACCUGAUAGGAAUCCUCGCUUCAUGGUGGGGGUUGGAAAGCUUCGGCGGUUUUGUGUGGACUCGCGGCUUAUUUGUUUGUUGGUGGGGUAGUGGCUUACCAAGGCUUUGAUGGGUGGCCGGCCUGCGAGGGCGGCCGGCCACAUUGGGACUGAGAUACGGCCCAGACUCCUACGGGAGGCAGCAGUGGGGAAUAUUGCACAAUGGGCGGAAGCCUGAUGCAGCAAAGCCGCGUGCGGGAAGACGGCCUUCGGGUUGGAAACCGCUUUCAGCAGGGGCGAAGCUUGUGGUGACGGUACCUGCAGAAGAAGCACCGGCUAACUACGUG
Molecule: ribosomal RNA, 465 nt
Filed under: uncultured bacterium
Lineage: Bacteria
Description: partial 16S ribosomal RNA
Rfam family: Bacterial small subunit ribosomal RNA
Source: RNAcentral